This 1337-nucleotide long non-coding RNA is filed under the name Callithrix jacchus (white-tufted-ear marmoset). Its description in RNAcentral is "lncRNA (ENSCJAG00000083256.1)". The record is from RNAcentral. Lineage: Eukaryota; Metazoa; Chordata; Mammalia; Primates; Cebidae.
GCCUGAUCGCAACCAGGUAUCUUCUUCACAGAAAGAACUCGUUUUCUGCUGUCAGAUGCCCUUUAGGUUCUCUUUUUAACCUAUAUCCAGUUUAUUCCUACUAAGAUAGUCACUCCCCAGCAGAGUCCUGACCAGGAGGAGAAUCAGGUGUGACACAGAGAAGGCAACUCAACAAAAUACACAAGAUAACAGAAGCCCUGUAUUACUUACAAAUCCCAGAGAGAAGAAGGCAGCAUGUCUCACAGGGAAAACAGGAAGUAGGGACACACAGGUUCAACCAAAAGGUGGGGAAGAAGAAAGAAUUCCAAAGCUUUUGUUGACAUCUAAGGUGUUACCCAAGCAAGUUUUCCAUGUGGACUUCUAAUUGGUGGGUUUUGAACAAUGGGAACACUUGGACACAAAGACGGGAGCAUCACACAUUGGGGUCCAUUGGGAGGGCUAUGGGAGUGAUAGUGGGAGGAAGGGUGGGGGAGGGAUAAUGUGGGGAGUAAUGUCAGGUAUAGGUAAUGAGGGGAUGGUGGCAACAAACCACCUUGCCAUGAAUGUACCUUUGCAACAAUCUUGCAUGAUCUGCACAUGUACCCCAGAAUCUAAAGUACAAUAAAAAAAAUUCAGAUUUUGAAAACAGAAUGAGACUUUUCUGGGGUAACCAGGUAUCUGGAUUUUUAAUACCUCUUGUGAAUACUAAACAUAAUAAAUUUUGAAAAGUGUACUGAAAAUGAGAUUCAACUUCUAUAAAUGAAGAACCCAUAAACCAGAAACAGAAGCCCUGUGGGCAUAACACCAAGGAGGUAGCAUAUAAAAGAAAGCAAUCUUAUUCUUUGUAGCAUAGGCAGAAUAUUUUAAAAUGAGCAAUAGCUUCAACUUUUUUCCUUCUUAUAAAAGCAAUUCAUUUUCACUAUAGAAAAAUUAGAAAACAUAAAAAAGCAAAAAAAUAAAAACCCAUACAAUGUCGAUAUGAAGAAAACUAUUGUUGAAACCUUGAUUGAUUUUAUUUUAAAACCUUUUACUUUGAGAAUGCUGAUAAAUUACAUCACAUAUUGAAUUCUAAUUUUGAAGAUUGUGGUUUUUUUUUUUCUUUUGAGUACAAGUUCAGUAGAGCUACACAAAGAAUAAAGUGUUGCAUGAAGUAUGAGGGCUAUUAUCAUGCUGGUUGUAUAUUACAAUGGUUAAGAACUAGACUUACAGAGUUAAACAUGAACGAAUUCAAAUUCUGACUCUAUUACUUCUUUGUUUUGUGACUAGAAAGUUACUUAACCCCUUGUAUCUCAGUUCUUAUCUGUGAGAAGACAUUAACAAUAGUAUCUAUCUGAUAUUGUUGUUGCAAGCGUUAACCA